CUCUUAUCGAGAGCGGCGGAGGGAUCUGGCCCUGCGAAACCGCGGCAACCGGGGUGAGGCGAAAGCUGAUCCCGUCAGGUGCCAAUCCCAGCUCCGGGCGGCCUCGGAGAAGGAUGAGAG
This 120-nucleotide non-coding RNA is filed under the name Methylacidimicrobium sp. AP8. Its description in RNAcentral is "SAM". It matches the Rfam family "SAM riboswitch aptamer (S box leader)". Rfam says of the family: The SAM riboswitch is found upstream of a number of genes which code for proteins involved in methionine or cysteine biosynthesis in Gram-positive bacteria. The SAM riboswitch acts at the level of transcription termination control. Lineage: Bacteria; Pseudomonadati; Verrucomicrobiota. The record is from RNAcentral.